GAUGAACGCUGGCGGCGUGCCUAAUACAUGCAAGUCGAGCGAACGGACGAGAAGCUUGCUUUUCUGAUGUUAGCGGCGGACGGGUGAGUAACACGUGGAUAACCUACCUAUAAGACUGGGAUAACUUCGGGAAACCGGAGCUAAUACCGGAUAAUAUUUUGAACCGCAUGGUUCAAAAGUGAAAGACGGUCUUGCUGUCACUUAUAGAUGGAUCCGCGCUGCAUUAGCUAGUGGGUAAGGUAACGGCUUACCAAGGCAACGAUGCAUAGCCGACCUGAGAGGGUGAUCGGCCACACUGGAACUGAGACACGGUCCAGACUCCUACGGGAGGCAGCAGUAGGGAAUCUUCCGCAAUGGGCGAAAGCCUGACGGAGCAACGCCGCGUGAGUGAUGAAGGUCUUCGGAUCGUAAAACUCUGUUAUUAGGGAAGAACAUAUGUGUAAGUAACUGUGCACAUCUUGACGGUACCUAAUCAGAAAGCCACGGCUAACUACGUG
RNAcentral lists this ribosomal RNA (497 nucleotides) under uncultured bacterium. RNAcentral's name for it is "partial 16S ribosomal RNA". It matches the Rfam family "Bacterial small subunit ribosomal RNA", at positions 28 to 507 of the family's 1533-position model. The record is from RNAcentral.